AUCUGAAGCCUGAAGAGGAUGAGAACCUCCGGGGGCAAGAGGUUCGACUCGAGCGGAGCGAGAGAACGUUGCGCAAGCAACGGCCCGCAGGGCGAGCCUAUCACCGGCAAGUUGACGCUCGCACCACCA
Molecule: small RNA, 129 nt
Filed under: Salmonella enterica
Lineage: Bacteria; Pseudomonadati; Pseudomonadota; Gammaproteobacteria; Enterobacterales; Enterobacteriaceae
Description: RtT sRNA
Rfam family: RtT RNA
About the family: This family represents a bacterial cis-regulatory element known as RtT RNA. The exact function of RtT is unknown although it is thought that it may be involved in changing the cellular response in relation to amino acid starvation.
Source: RNAcentral